UUGCGUUUGCGUUAAACUUUGUCUAGACAGUCUAGAGUCUAGGCUCUCUCAUCGAUUGCUUUUUAGAAAAGCAAGUUAUAAUCAAAUACCUCUGAUACCGGACCAUGGUCUAUAUAGUAGUAAUGCAUUAGAAAGUAAAACCGUCGCGUGCAAACCAUCGUCCAUGUUUCUUGUCCGGUCCGCGAGCAAGUACGGUUGCCGAUUCUCACCUUUGCACAGGCAAAUCAGCCGAGCCGCAAACUUAUCGAGUAACGGCAGCCAUCUUUGCUGCUCAGAAACGGGCUGUGGUUUGUGACAGAGAGACGGUAGUGGUUCUUCAUGCAGUUCACGAGACCAUCCCGUCGCCUAUGUACCCUACAAGAGAUUGGAAAUCAUUCUUAAGUGUGGCUAACUAGAAGAAUUAACGAACUCGUGUCACGAAUCCGGGCUACCGAAAUAUGGCAAUGGAGACGCCAAGGGAGCGUGAGAUCGCCGCGGAGGACAGUAUUAAGGUAGUCUGCAGGUUUCGACCUUUGAACGACUCCGAGGAAAAGGCUGGCUCUAAGUUCAUCGUGAAAUUUCCCUCCGGCGGCGAGGAAAAUUGCAUCUCCAUCGGGGGAAAAGUAUAUCUUUUUGACAAAGUAUUUAAACCAAAUGCUACUCAAGACAAAGUAUACAAUGAAGCAGCUAGAUCAAUUGUCACAGAUGUGUUGGCAGGAUACAAUGGCACUAUUUUUGCAUAUGGUCAAACAUCUUCAGGGAAAACGCACACAAUGGAAGGUGUUAUUGGAGAUCCAAAUAAACAGGGUAUUAUUCCCAGAAUUGUUAACGACAUUUUCAAUCAUAUUUAUGGUAUGGAAGAAAAUUUGGAAUUUCAUAUCAAGGUAUCAUAUUUUGAAAUCUAUAUGGAUAAAAUCAGAGAUCUUCUUGAUGUGUCUAAAGUGAAUUUAAGUGUACAUGAAGACAAAAACCGAGUUCCAUUCGUGAAAGGAGCGACAGAGCGCUUUGUAUCUAGUCCCGAAGAAGUGUUCGAAGUUAUAGAGGAAGGAAAAUCGAAUAGGCAUAUUGCUGUGACUAAUAUGAAUGAGCACAGUUCGCGUUCUCAUUCUGUGUUCUUGAUAAACGUUAAACAAGAAAAUUUAGAAAAUCAAAAAAAGCUUUCCGGAAAGUUAUACCUUGUUGACUUGGCUGGUUCAGAAAAGGUCUCUAAAACUGGAGCAGAAGGCACCGUGCUCGAUGAAGCGAAAAAUAUUAAUAAAUCGCUAUCAGCGCUUGGCAACGUAAUUUCAGCUUUAGCCGAUGGCAACAAAACUCACAUUCCUUAUCGUGAUUCAAAGUUAACUCGAAUUUUACAAGAAUCUCUUGGGGGCAAUGCUAGAACUACAAUUAUCAUUUGCUGCUCACCAGCUAGCUUUAACGAAUCCGAAACAAAAUCUACCUUAGAUUUUGGUAAACGUGCUAAGACUAUUAAGAAUGUUGUAUGCGUUAAUGAGGAAUUGACCGCUGAAGAAUGGAAACGUCGUUACGAGAGAGAAAAAGAAAAGGCAGCUAGAUUCAAAGGAAAAGUUGAAAAAUUGGAAGCUGAACUAUCACGUUGGCGUCAGGGUGAAACCGUUAAAAUAGAAGAACAAGUCAAUUUGGUUGAAGCACCAGAUGUUACAACACCAAUUAAUGUGUCCAUUGAAGGUAAAAUUGACGAUGGCCCAAUGCCAGCUACACCUGGUGGCAGCCUGAUGGCUGGUUCCUUGUCCAACGAAGAACGACAGAAACUGGAAGAAGAACGCGAAAGACUGUAUCAACAACUGGACGAUAAGGAUGAGGAAAUUAACCAGCAAUCGCAGUAUGUCGAGAAACUAAAAGAACAAAUGGACGAACAAGAAGAAUUGAUUGCUAGUGCAAGGCGGGACUACGAACAACUUCAACAAGAAAUGAAUCGAAUACAACACGAGAAUGAAAGUGCUAAAGAAGAAGUUAAAGAAGUUCUACAAGCACUCGAAGAACUGGCAGUUAAUUACGAUCAGAAAUCUCAGGAGGUUGAAAUGAAAAACAAAGAACAGGAAGCUUUAACGGAAGAAUUAUUAACGAAAGAAGUAGCAUUGAACACUACUACGUCAGAAUUACAGCAAUUGCGAGAUAUGUCCGCGCAUCAGCGAAAACGUAUCGCAGAAAUGUUAGCCAACUUCUUAAAAGAUUUGGGUGAAAUUGGAGUUGCUAUUGGCGGCGACGAGAACCUGAAGGUUGCGCCGGAAAGCAAUGGUAAACUUGAAGAGGAAUUCACAGUGGCGAGACUUUUCAUUAGCAAAAUGAAAUCAGAGGUGAAGAAUUUGGUACAACGUUGCCAAGGAUUAGAAAGUUUCCAAGUAGACUGUAACAAGAAAGUUGCUGAAUAUGAAAAAGACUUGGCCGAAUGUCGUCUACUCAUCUCGCAACACGAGGCUCGUAUGCAGACAUUAACGGAAUCGAUGAAGGUAGCAGAUGCACGUAAACGUACUUUGGAAGAGGAUGUCGAUGCUUUACGCGAAGAGUGUGCUAAGCUGAAGGCUGCGGAGCAGGUACAAGCAGUUACGAAUAAAGAAAAAGCGGAAGAAAAAGAAGCGGCGACGAAGAUGAGAGUGGCAUUGGAAGAACAAAUGGAUCAGUUGCGAGACGCUCAUCAGAAACAGGUUGCUGCGCUUAGAGACGAACUUUCUGAAAAGCAAGACUUAAUCAGCGAGCUCAAAGAUUUGAAUCAGAAAUUCACGUUAGCCCAUCAACAAAUGCAAGCUGACUACGAACGAUUAAAGCAGGAAGAAGCGAACAAGUCGGUGAAACUGCAAGAACUAAUCUUGCUUAAUGAACGCCGUGAACAAGCCAGAAAGGAUCUCAAGAGUCUGGAAGAAACGGUAGCCAAAGAACUUCAAACAUUACACAAUUUGCGUAAAUUAUUCGUCCAGGAUCUACAGACUAGAAUAAAGAAGACUAUGAACUCUGAGGAUAACGAAGACGACGUUGGAACGCUUACGCAGAAACAGAAGAUUUCAUUCCUCGAGAAUAAUUUGGAUCAACUUACAAAGGUCCACAAGCAACUUGUUAGGGAUAACGCUGACCUUCGCUGCGAAUUACCGAAGCUUGAAAAGAGACUGCGAGCUACGAUGGAACGAGUGAAAGCCCUUGAAACGGCAUUGCGAGACGCCAAGGAGGGCGCGAUGCGAGACCGUAAACGCUACCAGUUCGAGGUAGAUAGAAUCAAGGAAGCUGUCAGACAGAAAAGUUUGGCUCGUCGCGGACCUAGCGCACAGAUUGCUAAACCGAUCAGGGCCGGUCAACAUCACAACUUAAGCAACGUUAACGUUAUUAGAACAGGAAACCGUGAUACAAAUAAUUAAACAUCUACAUUGUGAUUGUGAAAUCGUGGGUUUGUUCGAUUUUGUACGAAAGGAAACGGUCCGGGACGCUCUACAUUUUAGAAUAUGGGUAACAACGUACAGUGAUCGUGAGCAUAAUGCCAAACCCUUCACUUUUACAGAAA
This 3487-nucleotide unclassified non-coding RNA is filed under the name Dufourea novaeangliae. RNAcentral describes it as "kinesin heavy chain, transcript variant X1". Lineage: Eukaryota; Metazoa; Arthropoda; Insecta; Hymenoptera; Halictidae. The record is from RNAcentral.